RNAcentral lists this ribosomal RNA (253 nucleotides) under uncultured bacterium. RNAcentral describes it as "partial 16S ribosomal RNA". It matches the Rfam family "Bacterial small subunit ribosomal RNA", at positions 524 to 776 of the family's 1533-position model. The record is from RNAcentral.
UACGUAGGGUGCAAGCGUUGUCCGGAAUUAUUGGGCGUAAAGAGCUCGUAGGCGGUCUGUCGCGUCGGAUGUGAAAACCCGGGGCUUAACCCCGGGCCUGCAUUCGAUACGGGCAGACUCGAGUGUGGUAGGGGAGACUGGAACUCCUGGUGUAGCGGUGGAAUGCGCAGAUAUCAGGAGGAACACCGGUGGCGAAGGCGGGUCUCUGGGCAGUAACUGACGCUGAGGAGCGAAAGCGUGGGGAGCGAACAGG